GUGGUUCUUUUUUAUCAUGUUACUUAACAAUGGUAUUAAAUAAUCUUCAUAACGUCUUAGCAGUUCGGUGAUUCCUUAAUUCAGGUUUAAUUUUUGCCGAAAUUUCUAUUUCUGUCAACGCAGAUUUACUAUUUGUUAUACUUUAGGUGUAACUGCAUUCAGGUUUUCCUUUUUAGUGAGUGACCAGCGAUUAAAACAUCUGAAGCUUGCUAUUCGACACAAGUUGUGUGUUAAUCAAGGGUUUCUACAAGUUCCGGUGUCGAACAUAGCUUCUGUACUUUGAUCAUAUUGUUUUGUUGUUAACAAUGGAAACCUCACUUAUAUGAAGUUAGACAGGAGUUGAAGCGUGGACCAUCUAUCAAAUAAGCUAUUUAUCAGCAACAUCAUGAAUGGAGCAAAGGCUGGCAUGUGCCAUUGAAUAAAGAUUUGAAUCUUCUGGUGGAUUUAUCAAGUCGCUCGCCUGUGACGUCGAUUGGACGAAUCACCCUUUGGUAAGCCAUGUGCAAUUCACAGGUCUUAUCUCAUCUCAUCUUACCUUUGUAUAUGUAAUGAUUUACUUUGAUCAUGGAUAUUUGAAUUUGAAUUUAGGUUAAUAUUUAUUUUCAGUUUUUUCAUCCAUGUGAUUCUCAAUGUUUCAGAAUGACCCAUUAGAGGCUAAAAAAAAAUGUUUUGCAGGCUUCUGGUGCAAUGAGAUCUCGUAGAGCUAGGGUUACUGAUAACAUAAGUAUCAUGUGUUUGUAGAUGACGUGAUACGUCCACAAACAACUAAGGCCAUGCCAAAUCAGCCCGAGUGCCAAUAAUUUUUGCUAUUACUAGGAUAGAUAAGGAAGGGGCUUUAGAUCGAGUAAUGCAAGUUAAGCAGGAGCUUUCUUAUAAUGGUUGUCAACUAGAAGAUUGGGGGUGGUGAUGUACCUAUGGUUCAGGUGCAGGGCAAGAUCACUUAAGUUUUUUUAUUAUUUUUAAAAUACCCUUUACAUGAUUCAUAUCAUUGUCAAUGAAAACAAAAUUGUGUGCUCUUACCAGCAAGAAUGUUGAUGAUUUGUUAGAACUCACUAUGCGUGUUGCCGAGUUAGGUAAAGUUAUUUACUGACUAUUGCAUGUAAAUUAUUUAUUUACCUUUUUUUUUUGCUUGGGGGAGAAGAGAGGGUUACUUUCAACCCAUUUGGCCCGCUUCGCAACUAUGCGGGUCAAAUUUUAUCUAAGGUAUGUAGCACAUCUUUAAUAAUAUACAACUUUAAUUACUUGAGAUACAAGUCAAUAAAGGAGUUUGCUCAAGAUUUAGGAGCAAUGGAGUUGUUGCUCGUGUAAAGGUAUUUAAGUUUAACUUCAUUUAUAUGUAUAUAUUAUUUUGAGAUUCUACAUUUGUCUUCAGUUUUCUUGAUUAUUAGCUGCAAGAAUUAAAGGCUAAUCUCGAUAGAAAUGCAAAGGUUAUCGUAAUUGAAGCAGGUCUCAUCAAUCAAAAGGACCCGUAGCUACUUUAUUUUUGUGCAAAAUGACACACUUAAAAAGGGAGAUGUGGUUGUAUGUAGUGAAGUCUUUGGAAAGGUGAUCGGAUUAAACAGUGCCCCAUUUGCGGUGACGAAUUUAAGGUAGUUGACUCACUUGAUAUUGCACGAGAAAGGGCAAAAGAACGGGCAAUAUCAUCAUGUGAUGUACGUAUACUAGCUAAAGCUGGAAUGGUAGAAUUACGCUUUUGUCCUUCGCUUCUGCUGUUACAACGGGCAUGAAUUCAAGAGCAACUGCUUUGUUUAUGUCCAUCGGGUCGAGCAACAUGUCAAAACAUGUUAGGGCUAAAAUGGGCAUUUCUUCUGUACAUCCUGAAAUGGGUUGGGUUGGUUUGACUCAAACAUGCUCUUUGCAUUAUUUUUAUUUAAGAAAUAGGUAUAGUGCCAAAUAUGAUCAUAAAACUAAAUUAAUUCAGCAAUAAUCUAAUUUUAUUGAAUCGUAGGUUUUAUUUAUUUCAAAUGACACUUUGGUGGACUUUUGAAUCUUUCACCCAUAUGAACAUUCUUUUUUAGACUAUUUUAAUUAUUUUUCCUUUCAGAGAUAAGCAUAAUCCUAUUUAACAUUUCACCCUAUUUCUAAACUUAAGUAAACGGGUCCAUUGUUGCCUUAUGAUUAUAGAUGAUUGUUGAGUGAAGACCUUUCUCUUAUUCUCUUUUUGAAUGAGCAGGAUAGACUUUUAGCCAUUUUCUAGAUCAGCAUCCUAUUGUACUUCAUAUUGGUGGGAAUAACUUGGAAAUUCUAGCAAAGCAACUCAACUAGCAAAAGGUUACGGUAAUAACAAGCUCAACUUGAACUAUGUUUACUUUUACAAGAUAUGUUUGUUCAAUAUUAUAUUAUUUGAUACGAGGAAACUUAUGGGUGUUUACAUGCUUUCAAUAUUAUGAAUGGAUGU
RNAcentral lists this long non-coding RNA (2398 nucleotides) under Helianthus annuus (common sunflower). RNAcentral's name for it is "hypothetical non coding rna". Lineage: Eukaryota; Viridiplantae; Streptophyta; Magnoliopsida; Asterales; Asteraceae. The record is from RNAcentral.